Molecule: ribosomal RNA, 887 nt
Filed under: Mycobacterium sp. Pao82
Lineage: Bacteria; Bacillati; Actinomycetota; Actinomycetes; Mycobacteriales; Mycobacteriaceae
Also listed under: 1 other name
Description: bacterial SSU rRNA
Rfam family: Bacterial small subunit ribosomal RNA
Source: RNAcentral
GGCCCUUCGGGGUACUCGAGUGGCGAACGGGUGAGUAACACGUGGGUGAUCUGCCCUGCACUUUGGGAUAAGCCUGGGAAACUGGGUCUAAUACCGAAUACACCCUGCUGGUCGCAUGGCCUGGUGGGGGAAAGCUUUUGCGGUGUGGGAUGGGCCCGCGGCCUAUCAGCUUGUUGGUGGGGUGAUGGCCUACCAAGGCGACGACGGGUAGCCGGCCUGAGAGGGUGUCCGGCCACACUGGGACUGAGAUACGGCCCAGACUCCUACGGGAGGCAGCAGUGGGGAAUAUUGCACAAUGGGCGCAAGCCUGAUGCAGCGACGCCGCGUGAGGGACGACGGCCUUCGGGUUGUAAACCUCUUUCAGCACAGACGAAGCGCAAGUGACGGUAUGUGCAGAAGAAGCACCGGCCAACUACGUGCCAGCAGCCGCGGUAAUACGUAGGGUGCGAGCGUUGUCCGGAAUUACUGGGCGUAAAGAGCUCGUAGGUGGUUUGUCGCGUUGUUCGUGAAAACUCACAGCUCAACUGUGGGCGUGCGGGCGAUACGGGCAGACUGGAGUACUGCAGGGGAGACUGGAAUUCCUGGUGUAGCGGUGGAAUGCGCAGAUAUCAGGAGGAACACCGGUGGCGAAGGCGGGUCUCUGGGCAGUAACUGACGCUGAGGAGCGAAAGCGUGGGGAGCGAACAGGAUUAGAUACCCUGGUAGUCCACGCCGUAAACGGUGGGUACUAGGUGUGGGUUUCCUUCCUUGGGAUCCGUGCCGUAGCUAACGCAUUAAGUACCCCGCCUGGGGAGUACGGCCGCAAGGCUAAAACUCAAAGAAAUUGACGGGGGCCCGCACAAGCGGCGGAGCAUGUGGAUUAAUUCGAUGCAACGCGAAGAACCUUA